CUACGGGGGGCAGCAGUGGGGAAUAUUGGACAAUGGGGGAAACCCUGAUCCAGCAAUGCCGCGUGUGUGAAGAAGGCCUGCGGGUUGUAAAGCACUUUCGGUUGGGAGGACUGCUUCUAGCACUAAUAUUGUUGGAAGUUGACGUUACCUUCAGAAGAAGCACCGGCUAACUCCGUGCCAGCAGCCGCGGUAAUACGGAGGGUGCAAGCGUUAAUCGGAAUUACUGGGCGUAAAGCGCGCGUAGGCGGCUAGAUCAGUCGGGUGUGAAAGCCCCGGGCUUAACCUGGGAACUGCAUCCGAUACUGUCUAGCUUGAGUACAGGAGAGGAGAGUGGAAUUCCACAUGUAGCGGUGAAAUGCGUAGAUAUGUGGAGGAACCACAAUGGCGAAGGCCGCCCUCUUGACUGAUGCAUACGCGGCGGCGUGCAAGCGGGGGCAGCACAUAGGAUUAGAUACCCCGGUAGUC
RNAcentral lists this ribosomal RNA (465 nucleotides) under uncultured bacterium. RNAcentral describes it as "partial 16S ribosomal RNA". It matches the Rfam family "Bacterial small subunit ribosomal RNA", at positions 339 to 795 of the family's 1533-position model. The record is from RNAcentral.